UACGUAGGGUGCGCGCGUUAAUCGGAAUUACUGGGCGUAAAGCGUGCGCAGGCGGUUUUGUAAGUCAGAGGUGAAAUCCCCGGGCUUAACCUGGGAACUGCGUUUGAAACUACAAGGCUAGAGUGUGGCAGAGGGGGGUGGAAUUCCACGUGUAGCAGUGAAAUGCGUAGAGAUGUGGAGGAACACCGAUGGCGAAGGCAGCCCCCUGGGUUAACACUGACGCUCAGGCACGAAAGCGUGGGGAGCAAACAGG
Molecule: ribosomal RNA, 253 nt
Filed under: uncultured bacterium
Lineage: Bacteria
Description: partial 16S ribosomal RNA
Rfam family: Bacterial small subunit ribosomal RNA
Source: RNAcentral